GGUUUUUUGAUAAAAAAUAAAGAGAUUUAACCUGCCCACUGAAUUUAUUUAAAGGGCCGCAGUAAUUUGACUGUGCAAAGGUAGCAUAAUCAUUAGUCUUUUAAUUGGAGGCUGGAAUGAAUGGUUGGACGAGGUAAAGGCUGUUUUAUAUUAAAAAAUUGAAUUUUGAUUUUAAGUAAAAAGACUUAAAUAUAAUUAAGGGACGAGAAGACCCUAUAGAGUUUUAUAAGCAUAAUUUUAAUUAAGUUUAAUAUUAAUUUUUGGUUAUUAGAAAGCUUAUUUGGUUGGGGUGAUAAAAAGAUAUAUUAACUCUUUUUUAAUUUAAAUAUAAAUAAAUAGGAAAAUGAUCCAUAAUUAAUGAUUAAAAGAUUAAAUUACCUUAGGGAUAACAGCAUAAUUUCUUUAAAGAGUUCUUAUCAAAAAAGAAGAUUAUGACCUCGAUGUUGGAUUAAGAUAAAUUUUAGGUGUAGAUGCUUAAAUUAUUAGGUCUGUUCGACCUUUAAAAUCUUACA
This 512-nucleotide ribosomal RNA is filed under the name Acontista sp. MN517. Its description in RNAcentral is "partial 16S ribosomal RNA". It matches the Rfam family "Bacterial large subunit ribosomal RNA", at positions 1827 to 2600 of the family's 2925-position model. The record is from RNAcentral. Lineage: Eukaryota; Metazoa; Arthropoda; Insecta; Mantodea; Acanthopidae.